RNAcentral lists this ribosomal RNA (501 nucleotides) under uncultured bacterium. RNAcentral's name for it is "bacterial SSU rRNA". It matches the Rfam family "Bacterial small subunit ribosomal RNA", at positions 28 to 517 of the family's 1533-position model. The record is from RNAcentral.
GAUGAACGCUAGCUACAGGCUUAACACAUGCAAGUCGAGGGGAAACGAUAGAGAAAGCUUGCUUUUUCUAGGCGUCGACCGGCGCACGGGUGAGUAACGCAUAUCCAACCUGCCCAUCACUUGGGGAUAACCUUGCGAAAGUAAGACUAAUACCCAAUGACGUCUCUAGAAGACAUCUGAAGGAGAUUAAAGAUUUAUCGGUGAUGGAUGGGGAUGCGUCUGAUUAGCUUGUUGGCGGGGUAACGGCCCACCAAGGCGACGAUCAGUAGGGGUUCUGAGAGGAAGGCCCCCCCACAUUGGAACUGAGACACGGUCCAAACUCCUACGGGAGGCAGCAGUGAGGAAUAUUGGUCAAUGGACGAGAGUCUGAACCAGCCAAGUAGCGUGCAGGAUGACGGCCCUAUGGGUUGUAAACUGCUUUUAUAAGGGAUAAAGUGGGAGUCGUGACUCUUUUUGCAUGUACCUUAUGAAUAGGACCGGCUAAUUCCGUGCCAGCAGCCG